AUAAAUUCAAAUCACUUUUUCCGUUAUUGUCAUUUUAAAGGUUUUUGAAUAUUUAUAUAUUUAUUUAUUGAAUCUGUGUUAAUUAUUAUUAUAUUUAUUAAACCAAUUUUAAAAUGACUGUAUUUUAUGACAAAAUGAAUUUUUAUUUACACACCAACAUUACAUCAAUGAAAUAUCGGAUUUCAUCUCAUUAGAAGUAUAU
This 202-nucleotide unclassified non-coding RNA is filed under the name Hevea brasiliensis (rubber tree). Lineage: Eukaryota; Viridiplantae; Streptophyta; Magnoliopsida; Malpighiales; Euphorbiaceae. The record is from RNAcentral.